Molecule: long non-coding RNA, 1528 nt
Filed under: Apteryx haastii (Great spotted kiwi)
Lineage: Eukaryota; Metazoa; Chordata; Aves; Apterygiformes; Apterygidae
Description: lncRNA (ENSAHAG00000018102.1)
Source: RNAcentral
GGGUCCCGCUUGCCCCAUGGCGUGCCCCACGGCUGCCCCACAGCGUGCCUGGGGGUCAUGCUGCUCCACGGCUGCCCCACAGCGCACCCCAUGGCGUCACGCUGCCCCAUGGUCUGCCCCAUGGCCCACCUGGGGGUCACACCGCCCCGCGGCUGCCCCACGGCGUGCCCUAUGGCAUCACGCGGCCCCACGGCUGCCCCACGGCCUUGCGCUGCCCCGUGAUCUGCCCCACGGCCCCCCAUGGCAUCACGCUGCCCCACGGCGUCACGCUGCCCCAUGGCCUGCCCCACAACCCGCUCUGGGGCCAGCUCGUGCCCCACGUCCCUGCGUCCGCCUGUCUUUCCACCGUCCCCUUGUCCGCCUGUCUCUCCGCCUGCUGCGUGUCCGACUGUCUACGGGCCUCGCGUCCGCCUGUCUCUCCCCCAGCCGCGUGUCCGGUUGUGUAUCCGUCAACCGCACGUCUGCUUGUCUUUCCACUGUCACUGUGUCCGCCUGUGCUUCUCUCAACUGGGUGUCUGCUUGUCUUUCCACCAUCUCUGUCUGCCUGUCAGCAGCAUGUUCGCUUGUUCUUAUUGCGCUUGUGUCCGGUUGUCUUUGUACCAACCACGUGUCUGACUGUCUUACUACCCAGUGCAUGUCCGGGUGUCUUUCCGGUGUCUGCUUGUCUCCCCACUGUCCACCUGUUUCUUUCAACUGUGUGUCCGCUUGUCUCUUUGCCUGUCUCUUCCUUGUUCCCCUGUCCGCUUGUUUCCCCGCCAAACGUGUCUGCUUGUGUCUCUGUCUGUUUGUCUGUCUGUUCUUCUGCUUGUCUCUGUGCUGUCCUCAUGUCUACCUGUCUCUCUGCCGUCCUCACGUCCGCCUGUCUCUCUGCCUACCCCGUCCCGGUCCCUCUGCGCUGGCCCCGGACCUYGGCGUCCCCCCUGCGUCUGUCCUUGUCCCCCCAUGCCGACCCCGUGUCUGUCUGUCUGCGUCCCUGCGUGUCCCCCGUGUCUCUCUGUCCCUCCAUGUCCUUCCGUCCCCAACGCCAUCCCUGUGUCCAUCCGCCUCGCGUGUCUUUCCGUCCCCAACACUGUCCCCGUGUCCCUCUGUUCCUCCGUGUCUUUCCAUUCCUGCAUCCUUCCGUCCCCAACGCCGUCCCCGUGUCCCUCUGUCCCCCGUGUCCAUCCAUCCCCAACGCCGUCCCUGCGUCCGUCCGUCUUGCGCGUCCUUCCGUCCCCAACGCUGUCACUGCGUCUGUCCAUCUCCCAUGUUGUUCCGUUCCUCUGUGUCCUUUCAUCUCCGUGUUUCUCUGUCCCCAGUGCCGUCCCCGUGUCCCUCUUUCCCCGUGUCCAUCCUUCUCCCACGUUCUUCCACGUCCUUCCAUCCCUCCAUCCCCAAUGCCGUCCCCGUGUCCGUCUGUCCCUCCAUUUUUCCAUCCCCAUCGUUGUUCCUUGUGUCCAUCCAUCUUUCAUGUUCUUCUGUUCUCUUAUUCCUCCGUCUUUCCGUCCCCGUGUCCAUCUGUCCCCCGUGUCCUUCCAUCCCCACGUCU